GGCGUACGUCUCGGAUUAUUGGGCGUAAGCGAGCGCAGGCGGUUUUUUGGUCUGAUGUGAAAGCCUUCGGCUUAACCGGAGAAGUGCAUCGGAAACUGGGAGACUUGAGUGCAGAAGAGGACAGUGGAACUCCAUGUGUAGCGGUGGAAGCGUAGAUAUAUGGAAGAACACCAGUGGCGAAGGCGGCUGUCUAGUCUGUAACUGACGCUGAGGCUCGAAAGCAUGGGUAGCGAACAGGAUUAGAUACCCUGGUAGUCCAUGCCGUAAACGAUGAGUGCUAAGUGUUGGAGGGUUUCCGCCCUUCAGUGCUGCAGCUAACGCAUUAAGCACUCCGCCUGGGGAGUACGACCGCAAGGUUGAAACUCAAAGGAAUUGACGGGGGCCCGCACAAGCGGUGGAGCAUGUGGUUUAAUUCGAAGCUACGCGAAGAACCUUACCAGGUCUUGACAUCUUCUGCCAAUCUUAGAGAUAAGACGUUCCCUUCGGGGACAGAAUGACAGGUGGUGCAUGGUUGUCGUCAGCUCGUGUCGUGAGAUGUUGGGUUAAGUCCCGCAACGAGCGCAACCCUUAUUAUCAGUUGCCAGCAUUCAGUUGGGCACUCUGGUGAGACUGCCGGUGACAAACCGGAGGAAGGUGGGGAUGACGUCAAAUCAUCAUGCCCCUUAUGACCUGGGCUACACACGUGCUACAAUGGACGGUACAACGAGUCGCGAAGUCGUGAGGCUAAGCUAAUCUCUUAAAGCCGUUCUCAGUUCGGAUUGUAGGCUGCAACUCGCCUACAUGAAGUUGGAAUCGCUAGUAAUCGCGGAUCAGCAUGCCGCGGUGGAAUACGUUUCCCGGGGCCUUGUACACACCGCCCCGUCACACCAUGAAGAGUUUGUAACACCCCAAAGCCCGGUGAAGAUAACCUUUCGGGGAGUCAGCCCGUCUAAAGGUGGGGACAGAAUGAAUUAGGGGUGAAGUCGUACACAGAGGGGAAACCCCAAGCGCCCCGGCCGCGCUCCCGGGGGGUUUUUAUGGGUU
Molecule: ribosomal RNA, 1023 nt
Filed under: Levilactobacillus brevis
Lineage: Bacteria; Bacillati; Bacillota; Bacilli; Lactobacillales; Lactobacillaceae
Description: bacterial SSU rRNA
Rfam family: Bacterial small subunit ribosomal RNA
Source: RNAcentral